AUUGCAAAGUUUUCGCGCCCGCCGGCCCCGCGCCCGUCCCGCCGCCCCCGCCCGCCCUACGGGGCGCAGCAGGCGCGAAAACUUUGCAAUGCGGGAAACCGUGACAAGGGAACUCUGAGUGCCCGUUAAAUCGGGCUGUCCAUCGGUUUAAAUAACCGGUGAAGAAAGGGCCGGGCAAGACCGGUGCCAGCCGCCGCGGUAAUACCGGCGGCUCGAGUGGUGGCCACUAUUACUGGGCUUAAAGCGUUCGUAGCUGGUUUGUUAAGUC
RNAcentral lists this ribosomal RNA (268 nucleotides) under uncultured archaeon. RNAcentral describes it as "partial 16S ribosomal RNA". It matches the Rfam family "Archaeal small subunit ribosomal RNA", at positions 308 to 539 of the family's 1478-position model. The record is from RNAcentral.